RNAcentral lists this ribosomal RNA (433 nucleotides) under uncultured bacterium. RNAcentral describes it as "partial 16S ribosomal RNA". It matches the Rfam family "Bacterial small subunit ribosomal RNA", at positions 29 to 507 of the family's 1533-position model. The record is from RNAcentral.
AACGAACGCUGGCGGCAUGCCUAACACAUGCAAGUCGAACGAGACCUUCGGGUCUAGUGGCGCACGGGUGCGUAAUGCGUGGGAACCUGCCCUUAGGUUCGGAAUAACUCCCCGAAAGGGGUGCUAAUACCGGAUAAUGUCUUCGGACCAAAGAUUUAUCGCCUUUGGAUGGGCCCGCGUUGGAUUAGCUAGUUGGUAGGGUAAAAGCCUACCAAGGCGACGAUCCAUAGCUGGUCUGAGAGGAUGAUCAGCCACACUGGGACUGAGACACGGCCCAGACUCCUACGGGAGGCAGCAGUGGGGAAUAUUGGACAAUGGGCGAAAGCCUGAUCCAGCAAUGCCGCGUGAGUGAUGAAGGCCUUAGGGUUGUAAAGCUCUUUUACCCGGGAUGAUAAUGACAGUACCGGGAGAAUAAGCGCCGGCUAACUCCGUG